RNAcentral lists this long non-coding RNA (339 nucleotides) under Brassica rapa (field mustard). RNAcentral describes it as "long non-coding RNA (BRAP_LNC007964)". The record is from RNAcentral. Lineage: Eukaryota; Viridiplantae; Streptophyta; Magnoliopsida; Brassicales; Brassicaceae.
GAACAUCUUGCAUGUUUUGGAUUCUUUUGAUAUUAGAAGUGUAAUAAAUGUUUUAAUACUUUUUUUGUUUGGCAUCUGAAUUUUUCAUUUAUAUAUAUAAAUAAAGAGCAUGUAGAAACAAAAACCUGCAAAAUGAAUUUUCCAUUUAUUUAUCCAUUUUAUUUGAUAUGAAAAAGAAAUUUACCAUUGUAUCAUUCUUUUCCAAAUAGCACCAUUACUAUCUACCAACACGUUUAUUGUCUUCUACCAACUUCGGUAGUGAUAGUAUUGGUGCCUUGCGGUGGUCAUUAUUGUAGCGAGUCAAUGUCGUUUUAUCUGAUAAAUAUACAUCAACCAUCG